UGUGCGCGUGUGCGCGUGUGCGC
Molecule: unclassified non-coding RNA, 23 nt
Filed under: Chlamydomonas reinhardtii
Lineage: Eukaryota; Viridiplantae; Chlorophyta; Chlorophyceae; Chlamydomonadales; Chlamydomonadaceae
Description: small RNA Cre_3582
Source: RNAcentral